GCGGUUGUGGCUCAGUGGUAGAGUGCAUGUCUAGCAUGUGUGAGGUCCUGGGUUCGAUCCUCAGCAUCACA
Molecule: non-coding RNA, 71 nt
Organism: Ictidomys tridecemlineatus (thirteen-lined ground squirrel)
Lineage: Eukaryota; Metazoa; Chordata; Mammalia; Rodentia; Sciuridae
Source: Rfam